RNAcentral lists this long non-coding RNA (212 nucleotides) under Elaeis guineensis (African oil palm). Its description in RNAcentral is "long non-coding RNA (EGUI_LNC003598)". The record is from RNAcentral. Lineage: Eukaryota; Viridiplantae; Streptophyta; Magnoliopsida; Arecales; Arecaceae.
GGCCUGUUUAUGUUGCUUUUUAUUUUUAUUUCAGAUCUCUUAUAAUUUUAAUUUUAUAUAAUAAAAUAAUAAAAUUUAUUUAUGAAUUUAUUGUGUGAAUUUUUUAUUUUAAUUUUAUAGAUUAUAAAUUAUAAAUAUUAUAAAUAUAAAUUAAAAAUAUACAUUAAUAAAUUAUUUUAAAAAAUUAUGUGUAAAUUUUUAGCGACAUAAUU